UUGGGAAUAUGCCUUAUGGUGGGGGACAACAGUCGGAAACGACUGCUAAUACCGCAUAACGUCUACGGACCAAAGGAGGGGAUCUUCGGACCUUUCUCCAUUUGAUUAGCCCUAGUGAGAUUAGCUAUUAGGUGAGGUAAAGGCUCACCUAGGCGACGAUCUCUAGCUGGUUUGAGAGGAUGAUCAGCCACACUGGGACUGAGACACGGCCCAGACUCCUACGGGAGGCAGCAGUGGGGAAUUAUUGCACAAUGGGCGAAUGCCUGAUGCAGCCAUGCCGCGUGUGUGAAGAAGGCCUUCGUGGUUGUAAAGCACUUUCAGUUGUGAGUAAAGGGAUGUAGUUAAUAACUGCAUUCUGUGACGUUUAACAACAUAAGAAGCACCGGCUAACUUUCGUGCCAGC
This 403-nucleotide ribosomal RNA is filed under the name uncultured Colwellia sp. RNAcentral describes it as "bacterial SSU rRNA". It matches the Rfam family "Bacterial small subunit ribosomal RNA", at positions 117 to 512 of the family's 1533-position model. The record is from RNAcentral. Lineage: Bacteria; Pseudomonadati; Pseudomonadota; Gammaproteobacteria; Alteromonadales; Colwelliaceae.